UACAGAGGUCUCAAGCGUUUGUUCGGAUUCAUUGGGCGUAAAGGGUGCGUAGGCGGCGCAGUAAGUCGGGUGUGAAAUCUCGGGGCUUAACUCCGAAACUGCAUUCGAUACUGCCGUGCUUGAGGACUGGAGAGGAGACUGGAAUUUACGGUGUAGCGGUGAAAUGCGUAGAUAUCGUAAGGAAGACCAGUGGCGAAGGCGGGUCUCUGGACAGUUCCUGACGCUGAGGCACGAAGGCCAGGGGAGCAAACGGG
This 254-nucleotide ribosomal RNA is filed under the name uncultured bacterium. RNAcentral's name for it is "partial 16S ribosomal RNA". It matches the Rfam family "Bacterial small subunit ribosomal RNA", at positions 524 to 776 of the family's 1533-position model. The record is from RNAcentral.